This 1406-nucleotide ribosomal RNA is filed under the name metagenome. Its description in RNAcentral is "bacterial LSU rRNA". It matches the Rfam family "Bacterial large subunit ribosomal RNA", at positions 1518 to 2925 of the family's 2925-position model. The record is from RNAcentral.
UGUGAGGCUGAUGUGUAGGCAAAUCCGCACAUCAUUAAGGCUGGGCUGUGAUGGGGAGCGAAAAUUGCAGUAGCGAAGGUCAUGAGUUCAGGCUGCCAAGAAAAGCCUCUAGCCAGGUGAAGGUGCCCGUACCGCAAACCGACACAGGUAGGCGAGCAGAGUAUGCUAAGGCGCUCGGAAGAACUCUCGUUAAGGAACUCGGCAAAAUGACCCCGUAACUUUGGGAGAAGGGGUGCCUCGGUAGGGUGAAUAGCCCGAGGGGGCUGCAGUGAAAAGGCCCAAGCGACUGUUUAGCAAAAACACAGGUCUGUGCGAAGCCGUAAGGCGAAGUAUACGGGCUGACGCCUGCCCGGUGCUGGAAGGUUAAGGGGAGUGGUUAGCCGCAAGGCGAAGCUAUGAACCGAAGCCCCAGUAAACGGCGGCCGUAACAAUAACGGUCCUAAGGUAGCGAAAUUCCUUGUCAGGUAAAUUCUGACCCGCACGAAUGGCGUAACGACUUGGGCGCUGUCUCAACGAGAGAUCCGGUGAAAUUUUAAUACCUGUGAAGAUGCAGGUUACCCGCGACAAGACGGAAAGACCCCAUGGAGCUUUACUGCAGCUUGAUAUUGGACUUUGGUACGAUCUGUACAGGAUAGGUGGGAGCCUUGGAAACCGGAGCGCCAGCUUCGGUGGAGGCAUCGUUGGGAUACCACCCUGAUCGUAUCGGAGUUCUAACCUGGUACCGUGAUCCGGUACAGGGACCGUGUCAGGUGGGCAGUUUGACUGGGGCGGUCGCCUCCUAAAAUGUAACGGAGGCGCCCAAAGGUUCACUCAGAAUGGUUGGAAAUCAUUCGUAGCGUGCAAAGGCAUAAGGGAGCUUGACUGCGAGACCUACAAGUCGAGCAGGGACGAAAGUCGGGCUUAGUGAUCCGGUGGUACCGCAUGGAAGGGCCAUCGCUCAACGGAUAAAAGCUACCCUGGGGAUAACAGGCUUAUCUCCCCCAAAAGUCCACAUCGACGGGGAGGUUUGGCACCUCGAUGACGGCUCAUCGCAUCCUGGGGCUGAAGUAGGUCCCAAGGGUUGGGCUGUUCGCCCAUUAAAGCGGUACGCGAGCUGGGUUCAGAACGUCGUGAGACAGUUCGGUCCCUAUCUGUCGUGGGCGUAGGAAAUUUGAGAGGAGCUGUCCUUAGUACGAGAGGACCGGGAUGGACGCACCGCUGGUGUACCAGUUGUUCCGCCAGGAGCAUAGCUGGGUAGCUACGUGCGGACGGGAUAAGCGCUGAAAGCAUCUAAGCGUGAAGCCCCCCUCAAGAUGAGAUUUCCCAGUAUGUAAGACCCCUGGAAGACGACCAGGUUGAUAGGUUCGAGGUGGAAGCGCAGCAAUGCGUGGAGCCGACGAAUACUAAUCGGUCGAGGGCUUAUCCGG